Molecule: small RNA, 28 nt
Filed under: Bombyx mori (domestic silkworm)
Lineage: Eukaryota; Metazoa; Arthropoda; Insecta; Lepidoptera; Bombycidae
Description: ovarian small RNA-31508
Source: RNAcentral
UGACCAAUUACCAUCAACGCCUCACAUC